RNAcentral lists this ribosomal RNA (1345 nucleotides) under Enterococcus faecalis. Its description in RNAcentral is "partial 23S ribosomal RNA". It matches the Rfam family "Bacterial large subunit ribosomal RNA", at positions 22 to 1406 of the family's 2925-position model. Lineage: Bacteria; Bacillati; Bacillota; Bacilli; Lactobacillales; Enterococcaceae. The record is from RNAcentral.
CGGUGGAUGCCCUGGCAGUCAGAGGCGAUGAAGGACGUGCUAAUCUGCGAUAAGCGUCGGUAAGGUGAUAUGAACCGUUAUAACCGGCGAUUUCCGAAUGGGGAAACCCAGUGUGUUUCGACACACUAUCAUUAACUGAAUCCAUAGGUUAAUGAGGCGAACCGGGGGAACUGAAACAUCUAAGUACCCCGAGGAAAAGAAAUCAACCGAGAUUCCCCCAGUAGCGGCGAGCGAACGGGGAGCAGCCCAGAGCCUGAAUCAGUGUGUGUGUUAGUGGAAGCGUCUGGAAAGGCGCGCGAUACAGGGUGACAGCCCCGUACACAAAAAUGCACAUGCUGUGAGCUCGAUGAGUAGGGCGGGACACGUGGUAUCCUGUCUGAAUAUGGGGGGACCAUCCUCCAAGGCUAAAUACUCCUGACUGACCGAUAGUGAACCAGUACCGUGAGGGAAAGGCGAAAAGAACCCCGGCGAGGGGAGUGAAAAAGAACCUGAAACCGUGUACGUACAAGCAGUGGGAGCACGCUUAGGCGUGUGACUGCGUACCUUUUGUAUAAUGGGUCAGCGACUUAUAUUCUGUAGCAAGGUUAACCGAAUAGGGGAGCCGAAGGGAAACCGAGUCUUAACUGGGCGUUAAGUUGCAGGGUAUAGACCCGAAACCCGGUGAUCUAGCCAUGGGCAGGUUGAAGGUUGGGUAACACUAACUGGAGGACCGAACCGACUAAUCUUGAAAAAUUAGCGGAUGACUUGUGGCUGGGGGUGAAAGGCCAAUCAAACCGGGAGAUAGCUGGUUCUCCCCGAAAGCUAUUUAGGUAGCGCCUCGUGAACUCAUCUCCGGGGGUAGAGCACUGUUUCGGCUAGGGGGUCAUCCCGACUUACCAACCCGAUGCAAACUGCGAAUACCGAAGAAUGUUAUCACGGGAGACACACGGCGCGUGCUAACGUCCGUCGUGAAGAGGGAAACAACCCAGACCGCCAGCUAAGGUCCCAAAGUCAUGGUUAAGUGGGAAACGAUGUGGGAAGGCCCAGACAGCCAGGAUGUUGGCUUAGAAGCAGCCAUCAUUUAAAGAAAGCGUAAUAGCUCACUGGUCGAGUCGGCCUGCGCGGAAGAUGUAACGGGGCUAAACCAUGCACCGAAGCUGCGGCAGCGACGCUUAUGCGUUGUUGGGUAGGGGAGCGUUCUGUAAGCCUGCGAAGGUGUGCUGUGAGGCAUGCUGGAGGUAUCAGAAGUGCGAAUGCUGACAUAAGUAACGAUAAAGCGGGUGAAAAGCCCGCUCGCCGGAAGACCAAGGGUUCCUGUCCAACGUUAGUCGGGGCAGGGUGAGUCGACCCCUAAGGCGAGGCCGAA